UCAACCCUUUGACGAUGAUACUACCUAUAUAAUUUCUUUUCCACAAACCCUUUGGUGAUGUCACUCCAUAGUGAAGCUGUUUCCAUCAGCCCUCUAAUUAUGACAAUUUCUUUUCCAUCAGCCCUCUGAUGAUGACAAUCUCUUCCAUCAAUCCUUUGAUGAUGAUAUUCCUCAAUAAUCUUAAAAAAAUAAAACCCUACAAAAAAAUCCAAGUAC
This 216-nucleotide long non-coding RNA is filed under the name Lathyrus oleraceus (garden pea). RNAcentral describes it as "Pisum sativum (pea) long non-coding RNA (PSAT_LNC037949)". Lineage: Eukaryota; Viridiplantae; Streptophyta; Magnoliopsida; Fabales; Fabaceae. The record is from RNAcentral.